RNAcentral lists this ribosomal RNA (253 nucleotides) under uncultured bacterium. RNAcentral describes it as "partial 16S ribosomal RNA". It matches the Rfam family "Bacterial small subunit ribosomal RNA", at positions 524 to 776 of the family's 1533-position model. The record is from RNAcentral.
UACGUAGGGGGCAAGCGUUGUCCGGAAUCAUUGGGCGUAAAGAGCGUGUAGGCGGCCCGAUAAGUCCGCUGUGAAAGUCCAGGGCUCAACCCUGGAAUGCCGGUGGAUACUGUCGGGCUCGAAUCCGGAAGAGGUGAGUGGAAUUCCUGGUGUAGCGGUGAAAUGCGUAGAUAUCAGGAGGAACACCGGUGGUGUAGACGGCUCACUGGACCAUAACUGACGCUGAGACACGAAAGCGUGGGUAGCAAACAGG